GAGACACCAAAUAUAUCCAUAUUCCAUUAUAUUCCAUGUGUACAAAUGCAGGUCCUAUGCUUCUUGCUGGAUUCAUUGAUGCCCCUGUUAUUGGCCUAUCAAUAAAACAAACUAAUAUUAGAAAUUGACACAAUCAUAAAUAUAAAUAAUACAAUUUUCUAUUCUAGGAAGUACAACAUCUCCCAAUAUAAGUGUGUCGCCAAAUCCAAUAGUGUUCAACUCUCAUAUAAUGUGUCCUUCAACUGAGACACGUGUUUGUUUGAACAUUCUUUAGACACUUCUUGAACACAUCUUAGACACAUGUAUGAAAGUUAUAGAUGUAUGUAAAUAACGAUAAUUAAUAAAAUAUAUAUAUUUUAAAUACAUAAACAUAAAGCAUAUGAUAAUAUAAAUUAGUCUUGGGAUAAGUUUAAUACCCUGCAAACAUCACAUUCAAAAGUACAGUAGACCCAACGGCAAUUCCAGCCAAUUCACCAAUCUGCAAGUUUCAAAAUAAAACAAAUAAAUAAAUGCCAAUAAAUAGGGUGGUCUAAGAAUUAGAAAUAUAUUCAAAUAUGGGUUAUUUGUUUCGUACAAGCUAAUUUGUCUUGUUAUUUAAACUACUAUACUAGCAUUCUUCCAAAUGGUUCAAAACGUUACAACUAUAUUUAGACAACUAGUCAAUUUAAUUGCCGCUUUUUUGUAUCAAGAGUUUGACAAUGUGAUUUGCCAAUUCCUAUUUUGCUAGACAUGUGUUGAAUCAAACAAAAUAAAACUUUAGGAUAAAUGAAUAAGAAUGUUACCGCUCUAUUAUCGGUGGCAACUCCAGAUAUGAUAAACAUAAGAUAAAAAGUGAUUAUGAAUUCAACAACAAAAGCUUGCAAGUUAGAUCCAUCUGGGAGUGUUCCUGCAAAUUGGUUAUCCUUCCCACUAAAUAGUAAUCUAAGAGUUCCACUUGCAAGUGUCGAUCCAAGGACUUGAGCUACUACAUAGCCUGGUACCUAUAUGCAAUCAUAAAAAUUCAAAAUAAUUACAUCACCUUAGUCAUGCUAACAACUUUAAGACAAAUUUAAAUUUAAACAAUUGGAUAGAGAGAUAAGAUAUAUUUCAUUCCAUUAUUUUUCUAGCUACAUGUGUGUGAACACCCAAUUGUGGACUUUAUUCACUUUUAUCCAAUGUGAAUUGAAAUGUUUUCUUCCGAAAUUAUAAAAUAAUGUGAAAAGGUCAAAGUAAGUUAGAAUUGAAGAGAUUCAUUUUCAAGUAAAGUGGGCUGUAAUGAUGAACUAAUUAUUUGACCUCUAAUUUUCCUACCAAGUUUAACAAUCAAAAAUUAAAAAUUAAAAAAAAAAUUAAAAAAAAAAUGGUGAGUUUGGUGCACCUGUUUGAGGGGAAAUCUUCUGGUGGUGGCAAAAGCAAUUGUAACAGCAGGAUUGAAAUGAGCACCAGAGAUAUGACCAAGAGAGUAAACCAAGACCAUGACAGCAAGUCCCCAAACAAUUGAAAUCCCAGGAAGUGUUACAACAUUUUCAUUGUUCUUGUUCACCACCACUGAAGCACAACCAGCAAAUAUCAAGAAAUAGGUGCCUACCACUUCAGCUACCAACUGUAGAUAUUUUCAUCAACAAAUAACAGUUAUGUGAUAAUUUAUGAAACACAUACAUCAAACAUAAUUGAAAAUAAAGAAAAGGAGAGACCUUUUGCAAGAAAGAAGCAGUGGCAGGGGCGGUUGAGUUUUCAGUUAUCUUUAAGUCAUCCUUGUUUACGUUUAAAACGACCUCAUUGAUUGUUCCAUUGCUAGCUGAAUUGUCAUCCAUCACUAAUAUAGAGAAACAACAAAACACAAACCAAACAAUCUUUGUGCUCCUAUAACUAGUUUUUUGGAAAAUUAUAUUUCACCUUCUAAGGUUUACAGAAAGCACAGAACUUGUUUCAUCUCUCUGUCUUUAUAUAACGGAACAAUGAGGAUUAAUUUAUAUUACUUAAUAUAAUAAUAAUAAUAAUAAUGAGGGUUGAGCAAUUAUUGACUCAAAAACAAAUCAAUUUAUUUCUUUCUAUUUAAGGACAUUUUCCAAAUAUAUCCUUGCAUUUACUUUUUAAUUCUUAAAAUAUAAUCAACAAAAUUAAAUACACAUAAUUAUUAUUUUUAAUAAGUGUGAAACUAUAUAUUUUUGCCUAUAAAAUCGAAGAGAGUAUUAUCUAUGUGAUGAUAUAUUUCCAUAAAACAUUCACCACAGAUAUUUUCCAUGUGAAAUGUUUGAUAUCUUUUAUAAUAUAAUUUUUAGAUAUAUUGCUUAAGAUUAAGAUAAAUAAGACACGAUGAAGUUAAAUUAAAAUAAAGAUUGAUAUAAAAUUAAUAUUAAGAUUAAGAUAAUAAAUGUUGGUUGUUUAUAUUAUUCAUAUUAUUAAGAUUAACAUGAUUAGGAAAUUAUUUAAUUAGAGGUAAAAAUCUAAACAUCAAUUUGGUGGAGCUUUAACAAUUUUUUUCACAAAAUUCAAACCAAACUGAUAAAGAACAUGUUGAUUUUGUUCAAUUUAAACAAGUUGAUAUUUUAAAAUUAAAUGCUUAUUUUAACAAAUAUAAAUUUUUUCAAACACUAGAUUUUUUUUAUAGAUAAAACACUAAAUUUUAUACCAUUAUAACAGUUGCAUAACCGUCUUUAAAUUCUAACUCAACUGACAAAUAUCGAUUGGACGUCGACUUUAAAAAGACAAAAAAGAAAACAAUUGAUAAACUUUUUUAAUGACAAAUACUAAAACCAUAAUGAAAAAUAAUAAUAUAUAAACAAUUAAAAAUCACUUAAAUAUUUAUUUAUGAAAACACUUAAAUACAACACAUUAUUUUAAGAUAACAUAUAAUGUGAAAUAAAAUAAAUAGUUUAAACUAAAAUAUUAAAAAAAAACAAUGAUCAAUUGUUUUCAAUUAUAUUUUUGAAUCUAUUAAACUAUUUAUUUGAUUUUUAUAUUUUAGACGAAACUCAAAAUACAUAAUUAAAAUUUUAAUUUAUAAUUUUUUAUAAAUUUAAAAAAUUUGUUUGAAUUUUGAGGUAGCCGUGACCACCCUAAUUCCAACAAAGCUCCACUACUGGACAACUUCCUAAAGAAAGAACAAACUAUGGCUUUACUCCUUUGAGGAAAGAUGCACUUUUGGUGAUCUCACGAACCGACUUAUCCGUAUAUCGAAUGAUGUUAUAAACCCAUGCACCAGCCACAGCCCCUAGAAUUGGAGACACCAAAUAUAUCCAUAUUCCAUUAUAUUCCAUGUGUACAAAUGCAGGUCCUAUGCUUCUUGCUGGAUUCAUUGAUGCCCCUGUUAUUGGCCUAUCAAUAAAACAAACUAAUAUUAGAAAUUGACACAAUCAUAAAUAUAAAUAAUACAAUUUUCUAUUCUAGGAAGUACAACAUCUCCCAAUAUAAGUGUGUCGCCAAAUCCAAUAGUGUUCAACUCUCAUAUAAUGUGUCCUUCAACUGAGACACGUGUUUGUUUGAACAUUCUUUAGACACUUCUUGAACACAUCUUAGACACAUGUAUGAAAG
This 3513-nucleotide long non-coding RNA is filed under the name Cicer arietinum (chickpea). Its description in RNAcentral is "long non-coding RNA (CARI_LNC001777)". The record is from RNAcentral. Lineage: Eukaryota; Viridiplantae; Streptophyta; Magnoliopsida; Fabales; Fabaceae.